RNAcentral lists this ribosomal RNA (468 nucleotides) under uncultured bacterium. RNAcentral's name for it is "partial 16S ribosomal RNA". It matches the Rfam family "Bacterial small subunit ribosomal RNA", at positions 28 to 507 of the family's 1533-position model. The record is from RNAcentral.
GACGAACGCUGGCGGCGUGCUUAACACAUGCAAGUCGAACGGAAAGGCCCUGCUUUUGUGGGGUGCUCGAGUGGCGAACGGGUGAGUAACACGUGAGUAACCUGCCCUUGACUUUGGGAUAACUUCAGGAAACUGGGGCUAAUACCGGAUAGGAGCUCCUGCUGCAUGGUGGGGGUUGGAAAGUUUCGGCGGUUGGGGAUGGACUCGCGGCUUAUCAGCCUGUUGGUGGGGUAGUGGCUUACCAAGGCUUUGACGGGUAGCCGGCCUGAGAGGGUGACCGGCCACAUGGGGACUGAGAUACGGCCCAGACUCCUACGGGAGGCAGCAGUGGGGAAUAUUGCACAAUGGGCGGAAGCCUGAUGCAGCAACGCCGCGUGCGGGAUGACGGCCUUCGGGUUGUGAACCGCUUUCGCCUGUGACGAAGCGUGAGUGACGGUAAUGGGUAAAGAAGCACCGGCUAACUACGUG